RNAcentral lists this ribosomal RNA (497 nucleotides) under uncultured bacterium. RNAcentral describes it as "partial 16S ribosomal RNA". It matches the Rfam family "Bacterial small subunit ribosomal RNA", at positions 28 to 507 of the family's 1533-position model. The record is from RNAcentral.
GAUGAACGCUGGCGGCGUGCCUAAUACAUGCAAGUCGAGCGAACGGACGAGAAGCUUGCUUUUCUGAUGUUAGCGGCGGACGGGUGAGUAACACGUUGAUAACCUACCUAUAAGACUGGGAUAACUUCGGGAAACCUGAGCUAAUACCGGAUAAUAUUUUGAACCGCAUGGUUCAAAAGUUAAAGACGGUCUUGCUGUCACUUAUAGAUGGAUCCGCGCUGCAUUAGCUAGUUGGUAAGGUAACGGCUUACCAAGGCAACGAUGCAUAGACGACCUGAGAGGGUGAUUGGCCACACUGGAACUGGGACACGGUCCAGACUCCUACGGGAGGCAGCAGACGGGAAUCUGCCGCAAUGGGCGAAAGCCUGACGGAACAGCGCGGCGUGAGUGAUGAAGGUCUUCGGAUCGUAAAACUCUGUUAUUAGGGAAGAACAUAUGUGUAAGUAACUGUGCACAUCGUGACGGUACCUAAUCAGAAAGCCACGGCUAACUACGUG